RNAcentral lists this small nuclear RNA (336 nucleotides) under Heterocephalus glaber (naked mole-rat). Its description in RNAcentral is "7SK RNA". It matches the Rfam family "7SK RNA". From Rfam's summary of the family: 7SK was discovered as an abundant small nuclear RNA in the mid-70s but a possible function has only recently been suggested. The record is from Rfam by way of RNAcentral. Lineage: Eukaryota; Metazoa; Chordata; Mammalia; Rodentia; Bathyergidae.
GGAUGUGAGGGCGAUCUGGCUGCGACAUCUGUCACCGCAUUGAUCGCCAGGGUUGAUUCGGCUGAUCUGGUUGGCUAGGCGGGUGUCCCCUUCCUCCCUCACCACUCCAUGUGCGUCCCUCCCAAAGCUGCGCGCUCGGUCGGUUGAAGAGGACGACCAACCCCGAUAGAGGAGGACUGUUUCCUCGGUCAAGGGUAUACGAGUAGCUGCACUCCCCUGCUAGAACCUCCGAACAAGCUCUCAAGGAUGUCCCUCCAGAGAUCAGUGGAAGACUGGAUGCUUGACCAGUCUCACCAUGCCCUUUCACACUUCCGAUACAACUGAAGGUGUCUGAUC